UACGUAGGGUGCGAGCGUUGUCCGGAAUUACUGGGCGUAAAGAGCUCGUAGGUGGUUUGUCGCGUUGUUCGUGAAAACCGGGGGCUUAGCCCUCGGCGUGCGGGCGAUACGGGCAGACUUGAGUACUGCAGGGGAGACUGGAAUUCCUGGUGUAGCGGUGGAAUGCGCAGAUAUCAGGAGGAACACCGGUGGCGAAGGCGGGUCUCUGGGCAGUAACUGACGCUGAGGAGCGAAAGCGUGGGGAGCGAACAGG
RNAcentral lists this ribosomal RNA (253 nucleotides) under uncultured bacterium. RNAcentral's name for it is "partial 16S ribosomal RNA". It matches the Rfam family "Bacterial small subunit ribosomal RNA", at positions 524 to 776 of the family's 1533-position model. The record is from RNAcentral.